RNAcentral lists this non-coding RNA (112 nucleotides) under Triticum urartu. RNAcentral's name for it is "SAM-I sequence". It matches the Rfam family "SAM riboswitch aptamer (S box leader)". Rfam says of the family: The SAM riboswitch is found upstream of a number of genes which code for proteins involved in methionine or cysteine biosynthesis in Gram-positive bacteria. The record is from RNAcentral. Lineage: Eukaryota; Viridiplantae; Streptophyta; Magnoliopsida; Poales; Poaceae.
GAUUUAUACAGAAGUGGCGAGAGACUGGCUCUAUGACCCACUGGCAACCAACAACACGAAGUUGAAAAGGUGCCAAUUCCUGUCCAAGACGUUGUUUUGGAGUAUAUAAAUA